GAUGAACGCUGGCGGCGUGCCUAAUACAUGCAAGUCGAGCGAACAGACGAGGAGCUUGCUCCUCUGACGUUAGCGGCGGACGGGUGAGUAACACGUGGAUAACCUACCUAUAAGACUGGGAUAACUUCGGGAAACCGGAGCUAAUACCGGAUAAUAUAUUGAACCGCAUGGUUCAAUAGUGAAAGACGGUUUUGCUGUCACUUAUAGAUGGAUCCGCGCCGCAUUAGCUAGUUGGUAAGGUAACGGCUUACCAAGGCAACGAUGCGUAGCCGACCUGAGAGGGUGAUCGGCCACACUGGAACUGAGACACGGUCCAGACUCCUACGGGAGGCAGCAGUAGGGAAUCUUCCGCAAUGGGCGAAAGCCUGACGGAGCAACGCCGCGUGAGUGAUGAAGGUCUUCGGAUCGUAAAACUCUGUUAUUAGUGAAGAACAAAUGUGUAAGUAACUUUGCACGUCUUGACGGUACCUAAUCAGAAAGCCACGGCUAACUACGUG
Molecule: ribosomal RNA, 497 nt
Filed under: uncultured bacterium
Lineage: Bacteria
Description: partial 16S ribosomal RNA
Rfam family: Bacterial small subunit ribosomal RNA
Source: RNAcentral